GAUGAACGCUGGCGGCGUGCCUAAUACAUGCAAGUCGAGCGAACGGAUGAGAAGCUUGCUUCUCUGAUGUUAGCGGCGGACGGGUGAGUAACACGUGGAUAACCUACCUAUAAGACUGGGAUAACUUCGGGAAACCGGAGCUAAUACCGGAUAAUAUUUUGAACCGCAUGGUUCAAAAGUGAAAGACGGUCUUGCUGUCACUUAUAGAUGGAUCCGCGCUGCAUUAGCUAGUUGGUAAGGUAACGGCUUACCAAGGCAACGAUGCAUAGCCGACCUGAGAGGGUGAUCGGCCACACUGGAACUGAGACACGGUCCAGACUCCUACGGGAGGCAGCAGUAGGGAAUCUUCCGCAAUGGGCGAAAGCCUGACGGAGCAACGCCGCGUGAGUGAUGAAGGUCUUCGGAUCGUAAAACUCUGUUAUUAGGGAAGAACAUAUGUGUAAGUAACUGUGCACAUCUUGACGGUACCUAAUCAGAAGGCCACGGCUAACUACGUG
This 497-nucleotide ribosomal RNA is filed under the name uncultured bacterium. Its description in RNAcentral is "partial 16S ribosomal RNA". It matches the Rfam family "Bacterial small subunit ribosomal RNA", at positions 28 to 507 of the family's 1533-position model. The record is from RNAcentral.